This 495-nucleotide ribosomal RNA is filed under the name uncultured bacterium. RNAcentral's name for it is "partial 16S ribosomal RNA". It matches the Rfam family "Bacterial small subunit ribosomal RNA", at positions 28 to 507 of the family's 1533-position model. The record is from RNAcentral.
GACGAACGCUGGCGGCGUGCCUAAUACAUGCAAGUAGAACGCUGAAGGAGGAGCUUGCUCUUCUGGAUGAGUUGCGAACGGGUGAGUAACGCGUAGGUAACCUGCCUGGUAGCGGGGGAUAACUAUUGGAAACGAUAGCUAAUACCGCAUAAGAGUAGAUGUUGCAUGACAUUUACUUAAAAGGUGCAAUUGCAUCACUACCAGAUGGACCUGCGUUGUAUUAGCUAGUUGGUGGGGUAACGGCUUACCAAGGCGACGAUACAUAGCCGACCUGAGAGGGUGAUCGGCCACACUGGGACUGAGACACGGCCCAGACGCCUACGGGAGGCAGCAGUAGGGAAUCUUCGGCAAUGGACGGAAGUCUGACCGAGCAACGCCGCGUGAGUGAAGAAGGGUUUCGGAUCGUAAAGCUCUGUUGUAAGAGAAGAACGAGUGUGAGAGUGGAAAGUUCACACUGUGACGGUAUCUUACCAGAAAGGGACGGCUAACUACGUG